This 70-nucleotide transfer RNA is filed under the name Siphluriscus chinensis. RNAcentral's name for it is "tRNA-Lys". Lineage: Eukaryota; Metazoa; Arthropoda; Insecta; Ephemeroptera; Siphlonuridae. The record is from RNAcentral.
CAUUAGGUGUCUGAAAGUAAGUGAGGGUCUCUUAAACCUUUUAUAGCAAAGUAGCGAUUGCUCCUGAUGA